CUUCAACGAGCCGAGCCGCAGCGGCUUCUGCGGAUCCCGGCCCUGUCCGUACGUGGCCAGCAGUGCCUGCGCCUC
RNAcentral lists this antisense RNA (75 nucleotides) under Streptomyces cellostaticus. RNAcentral describes it as "ASpks TB sRNA". It matches the Rfam family "ASpks TB sRNA". The record is from Rfam by way of RNAcentral. Lineage: Bacteria; Bacillati; Actinomycetota; Actinomycetes; Kitasatosporales; Streptomycetaceae.